UGCUUACAGAAAUUAAUUACCAUAAAAAUAUAAUUUGUAGUAAUUAAUAAUUCCAAAAUUAUUUCUAAUUUUUCAAGUAAUAAAUAUAUUCACAUUUAUCGUUCACAUUACUAGACACUUAUUCUCGUCAUUAAAUAAAAAAAAAAUUUAUACGCAAAAUUUCUUAAUUAUUUUAUUUAGGAAAUCUCGGGUUAUUACAUUCACCCUCCCUUAUAAGGAUUCCGUCCCCGGAAUCACCGUUCUAAAACUCAUAAACAUAAGGGUACAUAGCACAUAUAAUCAUUGCACGUAGACCUCGAUCAUACUCGAUCGAACUGAUCUUUAACUAUCCUUCACAUCACUCUAAUUAGGCAGAAAUUUGAUUUCUGAAAGAACUCAAAAUUUCUUUAUAAAAUCACUUACUAUAU
Molecule: long non-coding RNA, 407 nt
Filed under: Panax ginseng (ginseng)
Lineage: Eukaryota; Viridiplantae; Streptophyta; Magnoliopsida; Apiales; Araliaceae
Description: long non-coding RNA (PGIN_LNC002486)
Source: RNAcentral